GACGAACGCUGGCGGCGUGCCUAACACAUGCAAGUCGAACGGAGACUAACGCUGAAUUGAUGGUAGCUUGCUAUUGGAUUUUCUUGUUAGUCUUAGUGGCGGACGGGUGAGUAACACGUGAGCAACCUGCCUUUCAGAGGGGAAUAACGGCUGGAAACGGUCGCUAAUACCGCAUAAUGUCAUUUGGGGGCAUCCCUGGAUGACCAAAGAUUUAUUGCUGAAAGAUGGUCUCGCGUCUGAUUAGCUGGUUGGCGGGGUAAACGGCCCACCAAGGCGACGAUCAGUAGCCGGACUGAGAGGUUGGCCGGCCACAUUGGGACUGAGACACGGCCCAG
RNAcentral lists this ribosomal RNA (335 nucleotides) under uncultured bacterium. RNAcentral describes it as "bacterial SSU rRNA". It matches the Rfam family "Bacterial small subunit ribosomal RNA", at positions 28 to 334 of the family's 1533-position model. The record is from RNAcentral.